GUCCCUUUAAACAUGGAGGGGUGUGUGGUAAAGAUAUCCUUAUUUUGGUGCAUUAUUCCAACGUUACUGAUUAUUACCACGGCGCAGGAGUGAAGCUGGACGAAAAAGAGGGUGUUACAAUGGGCCACAUACAGCCCCUCAGGGUACGCCGCCCGUCCCCUCCUUGCACGCCCCCUCUUGUCCAGACACUCGAGGGACACCUUAAACGUACCUGGAGAUUUUGAUUCCCUUUAAAGAGCCUUCGAAUCUGCUACCAUCACCAACACCACCAAGAAUUCGAGUAGAUGGAUGCUACACCGAAAUCGGAUCCGAAUUAAUAGAAUACUGGUAGCAGGAAGAGGUACUGGAAUCAGAUUACCGGAGGAAGGGCCAAGAAAUACAGGGAUGCAGGUGCAGCGAGAGGGGGAGGGAGGCGGCGGCGGGAAGAGGGAUGGAGUGAUGGGAGAGAGUGGAAAGAGUGCUUGUGAGAUUAAAGAGCAGGAGGAGGAGGAGGAGGAGGAGGAGGUGGAAAGGGAUGGAAAGGCGUGACAGAAUGAUGCACGGAGGAGGAAUUAUGACCUUGAAGAAGAUGUGUUGGUGGUAAAAGAUUGCACUGAGAGAGAGAGAGAGAGAGAGAGAGAGAGAGAGAGAGAGAGAGAGAGAGAGAGAGAGAGAGAGAGAGAGUAUGUGUGUGUGUGUGUGUGUGUGUGUGUGUGUGUGUGUGUGUGUGUGUGUGUGUGUGUGUUAUUUGUUUGGAUGCAUGAGUCAGUUCCGUUCCCUGACUCUCCCUUGCCUUCCUAUCGCGCGCCAAGAACACACUCAAACUGCUUUCCAAUUCUUCGUCCGCCCGCACGCCUCCACCCCAUAAUUUGCCUCGGAAUGGCUCCAUAACACCGCCGGAGUAAGUGGGGCGUGCCUAGCUUCGUGGUUAGUGCUAAGUGGUAAGUGGCGUGGUGCUAGUGGCGUGGGUGGGAUAGUGUGUGCGUGUGUGCGUGAAGGAGGGGACACAGAGAGAGAGAGAGAGAGAGAGAGAGAGAGAGAGAGAGAGAGAGAGAGAGAGAGAGAGAGAUUAAUACCUGUCAAAUAUAUAUGCACGUAACUCACACCUCACUCUGAUGGUAACAGUACGUAAUCGAAGACAAAGCUAACGUAUUCAUUUAUUUUUUCUUCCUUUCUUUCUUCGUAUCAGCGAUGUACAAUUUUCGUCACUCGCUCGAUCAUCACCUUCAGUCACCUCCAUUAGCACCUGAGGCAUUUAAGGUACAGGUGGUGAUUUCAGUCGCAGUUUACACCUGCUCUUUCUUUAUUAGCUGACACGCACGCUUUUCUCUGUCCUCGACACCAAGUCAUUCCUGAAGGUCAUAUUUAAUUCCUCCUGAAAGAUACAACUGACGGACGCUGAUUCUUAAACUCGCUUCUCUCGUUAGGACUAUUUUCAAAAGCCACACAGACGAUUAGCUAAAUUGUCACGGGCGUUUUUUAUUCAAAUAAUGAUGCAGAAUCUUUGUUAAAUUUUCACUCAAAUCUUAAAAAAACAUUAACUUAGAAGUGAUUUGUUUGAUUCUCAAGGUUGUUUUAAUAAUGAGACAGAAUCCUUGUUAAACUUGCAAUAGAAUCAUGAAA
Molecule: long non-coding RNA, 1602 nt
Organism: Scylla paramamosain (green mud crab)
Lineage: Eukaryota; Metazoa; Arthropoda; Malacostraca; Decapoda; Portunidae
Exons: 3
Source: RefSeq, a predicted model, not a curated record